This 253-nucleotide ribosomal RNA is filed under the name uncultured bacterium. RNAcentral's name for it is "partial 16S ribosomal RNA". It matches the Rfam family "Bacterial small subunit ribosomal RNA", at positions 524 to 776 of the family's 1533-position model. The record is from RNAcentral.
UACGAAGGGGGCUAGCGUUGCUCGGAAUCACUGGGCGUAAAGCGCACGUAGGCGGAUUGCUAAGUCAGGGGUGAAAUCCUGGAGCUCAACUCCAGAACUGCCUUUGAUACUGGCGACCUUGAGUCCGGGAGAGGUGAGUGGAACUCCGAGUGUAGAGGUGAAAUUCGUAGAUAUUCGGAAGAACACCAGUGGCGAAGGCGGCUCACUGGUCCGGUACUGACGCUGAGGUGCGAAAGCGUGGGGAGCAAACAGG